ACGGGCAGUACUUCCCACUCUGCUGCACUGCCUUGCUUUCCUCCUGGCGGGGAAGAAAGAAGGAAGGAAAGAAGACCCAGAGCUGGAAUCAUACACAUCAUCGCAAUUCAUCCACACCGCAGUCCUGUAAGGGAUAGAAAGGAGGUCAUUCGAAGAGAUGAUGGCACGGGACCCAGGACCUGAGGAAGCUGCAGUGGGUGAAGGGGAGAAACAGAGGAGCAGGGGCUGGAGAAAGAGUGGGGAGUCAUCAACCACCCUCCUUUCUCCUGGCGUCUGGUUUUCGGGGCCCAGAGGUCUUCUCUAGGGCCUCAGAGAAGCUUCCAAGUCUGUUCAUUUCUCUUUCCCCACCCCUGCUUGUAUCACAAAUAAAGAAAUUAUUGACAACUGA
This 388-nucleotide long non-coding RNA is filed under the name Homo sapiens (human). RNAcentral's name for it is "non-protein coding lnc-CBSL-168:1". The record is from RNAcentral. Lineage: Eukaryota; Metazoa; Chordata; Mammalia; Primates; Hominidae.